GAUACAGCAGUGAUUAGCAGUGAUUAGCAUGGUGGUGGUGUAUGAGGUGUUAGUGUUGUUGAGCUGGUGGUACAGUGAGUGGAUCAGAUACAGCAGUGAUUAGCAUGGUGGUGGUGUAUGAGGUGUUAGUGAGUGUUGAGCUGGUACAGUGAGUGGAUCAGAUACAGCAGUGAUUAGCAGUGAUUAGCAUGGUGGUGGUGUAUGAGGUGUUAGUGAGUGUUGAGCUGGUGGUACAGUGAGUGGAUCAGAUACAGCAGUGAUUAGCAUGGUGGUGGUGUAUGAGGUGUUAGUGUGUGUUGAGCUGGUGGUACAGUGAGUGGAUCAGAUACAGCAGUGAUUAGUACUGAUUAGCAUGGUGGUGGUGUAUGAGGUGUUAGUGAGUGUUGAGCUGGUGGUACAGUGAGUGGAUCAGAUACAGCAGUGAUUAGCAUGGUGGUGGUGUAUGAGGUGUUAGUGUGUGUUGAGCUGGUACAGUGAGUGGAUCAGAUACAGCAGUGAUUAGCAGUGAUUAGCAUGGUGGUGGUGUAUGAGGUGUUAGUGAGUGUUGAGCUGGUGGUACAGUGAGUGGAUCAGAUACAGCAGUGAUUAGCAUGGUGGUGGUGUAUGAGGUGUUAGUGAGUGUUGAGCUGGUGGUACAGUGAGUGGAUCAGAUACAGCAGUGAUUAGCAGUGAUUAGCAUGGUGGUGGUGUAUGAGGUGUUAGUGAGUGUUGAGCUGGUGGUACAGUGAGUGGAUCAGAUACAGCAGUGAUUAGCAUGGUGGUGGUGUAUGAGGUGUUAGUGUGUGUUGAGCUGGUACAGUGAGUGGAUCAGAUACAGCAGUGAUUAGCAGUGAUUAGCAUGGUGGUGGUG
This is a long non-coding RNA of Astyanax mexicanus (Mexican tetra), 850 nucleotides long. RefSeq lists it as uncharacterized. The transcript has 3 exons. The record is from RefSeq and is a predicted model, not a curated record. Lineage: Eukaryota; Metazoa; Chordata; Actinopteri; Characiformes; Acestrorhamphidae.